Molecule: ribosomal RNA, 380 nt
Filed under: uncultured eukaryote
Lineage: Eukaryota
Description: partial 18S ribosomal RNA
Rfam family: Eukaryotic small subunit ribosomal RNA
Source: RNAcentral
CAAUAGCGUAUAUUAAAGUUGUUGCAGUUAAAAAGCUCGUAGUUGAACUUCAGACCUGGCUGGGUGGUCUGCCUUCUUGGCGUGUACUGUCCGGCCGGGCCUUACCUCUUGGUGAGCCGGCAUGCCCUUCACUGGGUGUGUCGGGGAACCAGGACUUUUACCUUGAGAAAAUUAGAGUGUUCAAAGCAGGCUUAUGCCCGAAUACAUUAGCAUGGAAUAAUAAAAUAGGACGUGCGGUUCUAUUUUGUUGGUUUCUAGAGUCGCCGUAAUGAUUAAUAGGGAUAGUUGGGGGCAUUAGUAUUCCGUUGCUAGAGGUGAAAUUCUUGGAUUUACGGAAGACUAACUACUGCGAAAGCAUUUGCCAAGGAUGUUUUCAUUAA